Macadamia integrifolia is the source of this 1905-nucleotide RNA transcript. It is a transcript of the gene named protein CDC73 homolog, with no coding region annotated. NCBI's taxonomy places the organism in Eukaryota, Viridiplantae, Streptophyta, Magnoliopsida, Proteales, Proteaceae. The transcript has 5 exons. The record is from RefSeq and is a predicted model, not a curated record.
AAAUACACCCUCAGUUUGUAGAAGAAAUUACACACUGGACCACUUUUACCGCACUGCUUUUGCCCUCUAACGCCACCUGUUUCUCCCUCAUUUUCUCUGCAACUCCUUCCGGCAUCCCUUCGAUUCUCAAGUACCCAUCUUCUUCUUCGAAGCUACUCUCGAUUGUCGAUACCCCAUUUUGUUUCUCGCAUGGAUCCUUUAUCUGCUCUCCGGGAUUUUACCGUACGAGGCGAGUUGGACAAAAUCGUCAAGGUCGGCGACGAAUUCCGAUUUGGUAACGACUACAUCUUUUCCUGCGGAGCCGAGACUGCGUAUCGAUCCAAGCAAGGAAAUCUCUACACCCUCGAAACCCUUGUUUAUUACGUCAAGAAUCACCAUAUCAAGCACACUGAGUAUCUACAGAACGCUCGAACGCAGAAGAUCCCAGCUGUUACUCUACCCGAUCGUAAACCCUUACUCGAGUACCUCCAAGGCAAAGUUGCAUCAAACGAUGCCAUCGAAUUUGUCGUCCCGCAGAACCCCAGAGCCGCUGACCCUGUACCUAUCGACGUGGAAGAGUAUCGGCCGGAGGAUCCGGGAUUAAUCGGAAUUCGGUCUCCGGCCGAUGAAGUCGAAGAUGAGAAAUCUAGGGUUAGGGUUCCUGAGAAGGUCGAUUAUGUCUCUAUGAUCAAGUCUUGCGAGAGACCCUUGAAAGAUCGGGAGCUGUUGUUGGAGUGUAGGCAUAGAGACUUUUAUAGUGUUCUUGUAGCAUCGACGAGGCGGGAGGAGGAACGACAGCGAAUGGAGUCGCAGCAGAGAAAGGAUGGGUUGGUGGCCAAGAGCAGGUUGAUGGGAGCGGAUGACAGAGGUUUAGGGUUUUGGAAAGAUGGGGAGGAUAUGGGUUAUGAUUCUACACCGAAGCCAAAGAUGCAUUUGAAGGGGAGUAAGAUUGGUGAAGGUGUUCCGAUAAUUCUGGUCCCUAGUGCAUUCCAGACAUUGAUCACGAUUUAUAAUGUGAAAGAGUUUCUGGAAGAUGGGGUCUAUAUACCAACAGAUGUGAAGGUGAAGCAGAUGAAGGGAGCUAAGCCAGAUUGUGUAACUGUGCAGAAGAAGUUUAGUCGGGACCGGGUGGUGACAGCUUACGAGGUUAGAGAUAAACCAUCCAGUUUGAAGGCAGAGGAUUGGGAUAGGGUGGUUGCAGUUUUUGUAUUGGGAAAGGAAUGGCAGUUCAAGGAUUGGCCUUUUAAGGAUCAUGUUGAAAUAUUCAACAAAAUUAUUGGGUUUUUCAUGCGUUUUGAAGAUGACAGUGUUGAGUCAGCAAAGAUGGUGAAACAGUGGAAUGUGAAGAUCAUCUCGAUUAGCAAGAAUAAGAGACACCAGGACAGGGCUGCAGCUCUUGAGGUAUGGGACAGGCUAGAAGAGUUCAUGCGGUCACGGUCACAUAAUUGAAGUGCCAAGUUAAUUUGUAUGAAGGUAAAAUAAAGAAUGAGAAGAAAAGGAAAGAACAUAACCAGGAAUCCACCUUGAAUGUCGAUUAUAAGAGAUGAAAAAGAAAAUUUACAUCAAUCACUUAAUGUUGCUCGGUUGGACUUCCCGGUUGGGACAAACAAAGAUUGCCGGGUAUACGCAGAGAAUGCUUGGAGAUUAGCCAUUGGAUUCUAUGUCCUAAAUUCUGAUUAGGGUUUGGCUUGCAGUUUGAGACACUCCUGGGGAAACCCUGGCAUCUCUGGAGAUAGUGGCGUAAAGCAUGUUACUUGAGGAUGCAUCUCAUCUAUGUAUUUGCAUUUUGUAGCAAAGUGUACAGUAAACUUUGCUUUUCAGUUUUCUGUGUUGUUUUAAGACUCUUAACUACUUUCCACCAUGUAUCAAUCUCAAUUACCUUGAAAACAAUUCUUCUAAAUUGAAUUUUGCACCAGUUCCAGAAUA